This 1179-nucleotide long non-coding RNA is filed under the name Homo sapiens (human). RNAcentral's name for it is "HSALNT0374405". Lineage: Eukaryota; Metazoa; Chordata; Mammalia; Primates; Hominidae. The record is from RNAcentral.
UAGACACAGAGUGCUGAUUGUUGCGUUUACACUCCUUUAGCUAGACAGAAAAGGUCUCCAAGUCCCCACCGGUCCGAGAAGCCCAGCUGGCUUCAUCCUUCAGUGGCACUCGCCUAGGGACUUUGCAGCACCUAGCCUGGGCAGUCCGGCAGCCCAGAGGGAGCUGGUCCCCUAAUCAAGCCCAGCAGGCGCCCGCCGGCCGGCGGCGCUGAGUGCCGGCCCGCGGGGCCGCGGAACCCUGGCCCACCCAGAACCUGCGCAGAGCCACAAGGGCCGUGCACAGCCCCGGCUCCCGCCCGCGCCUCCCACUCCACACCCCCCCCGCCAGCAGAGGGAGCCGGCUCCAGCCUCGGCCAGCCCCAGAGAGGGGGCCCCCACGGAGCAGCAGGGGGCCCCCACGGAGCAGCAGCGGGCCAAAGGGCUCCUCAAGCCGGCCAGAGCAGACGCCAAGGCCGAGGAAGCGCCCAGAGUGAGCAAGGGCUGCUAGCACGUUGUCAUCUCUCAAUGUCUCAGCAAACUAACACAGGAACAGAAAACCAAACACCGUAUGUUGUCACUCAUAAGUGGGAGUUGACGAUGGAGUCUGGCUCUGUCGCCCAGGCUCGAGGGCUCCAGUACAGUGGUGCAAUCUCAGCUCACUGUAAUAACUGCCUUCCGGGUUCAAGCGAUUCACCUGCCUCAGCCUCCCCAGUAGCUGAUAUCACAGAUCCAACUUUUCUUCAUGGUAGAGAUACCCUAACUGCCCUCCAAACAAAGUUGCUAGUAUUGGAAGGAGGUUUGAGGAUACUCAUCUAGUGCAAGAGAUCCCUCAUCAAUUUCACUUCAUCUUUUCACAGAGCUUCCGGUUGUAUAAUUCUGCAGUGUAAUUCAGUUACUACCAAAGAAUCUCAUGUCAUUUUUUAACACUUUUCACUGCUUGAAAGGUCCAUAGGUUAAAUAUGGAAUUUACAACUUUACCUUUUCCACUAUCCUUUUGUACAUCUUUAACCAAUCAACAAACAUCUCUCAAUUUAUUUUCCUUAAAUGUAAUAAGUAAAAAGUGUGGUUGAGUGGAAGAUUACCAAAGUCCUCUGAUUUAGAUGUAUUGUAUUGUGUUGUUUUGUUUUUUUCCUCCCGGAAGUUCACUGUUGUUGUAUAUUCUCUUUAUUAUUAAAAUAAAAUAUGUUCUUUUGAAGGUUG